GACGAACGCUGGCGGCGUGCUUAACACAUGCAAGUCGAACGGAAAGGCCCUGCUUUUGUGGGGUGCUCGAGUGGCGAACGGGUGAGUAACACGUGAGUAACCUGCCCUUGACUUUGGGAUAACUUCAGGAAACUGGGGCUAAUACCGGAUAGGAGCUCCUGCUGCAUGGUGGGGGUUGGAAAGUUUCGGCGGUUGGGGAUGGACUCGCGGCCUAUCAGCUUGUUGGUGGGGUAGUGGCUUACCAAGGCUUUGACGGGUAGCCGGCCUGAGAGGGUGACCGGCCACAUUGGGACUGAGAUACGGCCCAGACUCCUACGGGAGGCAGAAGUGGGGAAUAUUGCACAAUGGGCGGAAGCCUGAUGCAGCAACGCCGCGUGCGGGAUGACGGCCUUCGGGUUGUAAACCGCUUGCGCCUGUGACGAAGCGUGAGUGACGGUAAUGGGUAAAGAAGCACCGGCUAACUACGUG
Molecule: ribosomal RNA, 468 nt
Filed under: uncultured bacterium
Lineage: Bacteria
Description: partial 16S ribosomal RNA
Rfam family: Bacterial small subunit ribosomal RNA
Source: RNAcentral